UGGGGAAUAUUGGUCAAUGGGCGGGAGCCUGAACCAGCCAAGCCGCGUGAGGGAAGAAGGCCCUAUGGGUCGUAAACCUCUUUUGUCAGGGAACAAAAGCGAGUAUGUAUACUAGUCGUGAGUGUACCUGAAGAAAAAGCAUCGGCUAACUCCGUGCCAGCAGCCGCGGUAAUACGGAGGAUGCGAGCGUUAUCCGGAUUUAUUGGGUUUAAAGGGUGCGUAGGCGGCGGUGCAAGUCAGCGGUAAAAGCCCGGGGCUCAACCCCGGCGAGCCGUUGAAACUGCAGUGCUAGAGAAGGCGAGAGGUACGCGGAAUGCGCAGUGUAGCGGUGAAAUGCUUAGAUAUUGCGCAGAACUCCGAUUGCGAAGGCAGCGUACUGGCGCCUGACUGACGCUGAGGCACGAAAGCGUGGGGAUCGAACAGGAUUAGAUACCC
RNAcentral lists this ribosomal RNA (435 nucleotides) under uncultured bacterium. RNAcentral describes it as "bacterial SSU rRNA". It matches the Rfam family "Bacterial small subunit ribosomal RNA", at positions 355 to 787 of the family's 1533-position model. The record is from RNAcentral.